This 487-nucleotide ribosomal RNA is filed under the name Sphyracephala detrahens. Its description in RNAcentral is "partial 16S ribosomal RNA". The stretch from base 249 to 408 matches the Rfam family "Bacterial large subunit ribosomal RNA", at positions 2473 to 2632 of the family's 2925-position model. Lineage: Eukaryota; Metazoa; Arthropoda; Insecta; Diptera; Diopsidae. The record is from RNAcentral.
GUUUCAUUUAAAUUUAUAAUAAAAUUUUAUUUUUUAGUUAAAAAGCUAAAAUAUUUUUAAAAGACGAGAAGACCCUAUAAAUCUUUAUAUUUAAUUUUAUUUUAAUUUAUUUAGAUAAAUUUUAUUUUAAUAAAAUUAAAUAUUUUAUUGGGGUGAUAUUAAAAUUUAAUGAACUUUUAAUUAAAAUUUUCAUAAAUAAAUGUUUUUUUGAUCCAUUAUUAAUGAUUAAAAAUUUAAGUUACUUUAGGGAUAACAGCGUAAUUUUUUUAGAGAGUUCAUAUUGAUAAAAAAGUUUGCGACCUCGAUGUUGGAUUAAGAUAUAUUUUUAAAUGCAGAAGUUUAAAUAUUAAGUCUGUUCGACUUUUAAAUUCUUACAUGAUCUGAGUUCAAACCGGUGUAAGCCAGGUUGGUUUCUAUCUUUAAAUAUAUAAAAUAUUUUAGUACGAAAGGAUUAAAUAUUUGAAUUAUAAAAUUUUAUAUUUAGAAU